Molecule: non-coding RNA, 97 nt
Organism: Acanthosepion pharaonis
Lineage: Eukaryota; Metazoa; Mollusca; Cephalopoda; Sepiida; Sepiidae
Source: the annotation of a GenBank genome assembly
UCAAACACCGGUUCACGUACGAUUACCAAAGUUAAGCAACGUCGAGCCUGGUCAGUACCAAGAUGGAUGACCGCUUCGGAAUACCAGGUGCUGUAAG